UACGUAGGGUGCAAGCGUUGUCCGGAAUUAUUGGGCGUAAAGAGCUCGUAGGCGGCUUGUCACGUCGGAUGUGAAAAUCCAGGGCUCAACCCUGGACCUGCAUUCGAUACGGGCAGGCUAGAAUUCGGUAGGGGAGACUGGAAUUCCUGGUGUAGCGGUGAAAUGCGCAGAUAUCAGGAGGAACACCGGUGGCGAAGGCGGGUCUCUGGGCCGAUAUUGACGCUGAGGAGCGAAAGCGUGGGGAGCAAACAGG
Molecule: ribosomal RNA, 253 nt
Filed under: uncultured bacterium
Lineage: Bacteria
Description: partial 16S ribosomal RNA
Rfam family: Bacterial small subunit ribosomal RNA
Source: RNAcentral